Long non-coding RNA from Manis pentadactyla (Chinese pangolin), 303 nucleotides. RefSeq lists it as uncharacterized. NCBI's taxonomy places the organism in Eukaryota, Metazoa, Chordata, Mammalia, Pholidota, Manidae. The record is from RefSeq and is a predicted model, not a curated record. The transcript is spliced from 4 exons.
GCCUUCCUACCAGGAACUCUGCUGCCAGAGGUUCAAGUGAUGACAGCCAAGAAGCAGAAUUCCAGAAUUCUCAGGAUUCUCCUCAGCCGGAGGCACGUGUGGUGGUCCCAGACCGCAGUCAGACACCGGGAGAAGAGUCCUCUGUCUCGGAGUAUUUCUCCUGCGUGUCGUCUCCAGGAAAGCUUCUAGCUGCUGCUGAGGACGGAGGAGGAGGAGAAGGAAUCCUUCAGUGGCAUCAGUAUAUUCUUCAAACUCAGCCUCUUGAGAUGACUCUACCCGAGGUCUUGGAGGAAUGGCAAGCUU